Molecule: ribosomal RNA, 251 nt
Filed under: uncultured bacterium
Lineage: Bacteria
Description: partial 16S ribosomal RNA
Rfam family: Bacterial small subunit ribosomal RNA
Source: RNAcentral
GGGAUGAGUAGAGCGGCGAACGGGUGAGGAACACGUGAGUAUCUACCUUUUAGUGAAGAAUACCCUCGAGAAAUUGAGGUUAAUACUGCAUACGUCCCUUCGGGGAGAAAGAUGGCUUUAUUGCUGUCGCUGAAAGAUGAGCUUGCGGGCUAUUAGCUAGUUGGUGGGGUAAAGGCCUACCAAGGCGAUGAUGGCUAGCCGGCCUGAGAGGGUGAACGGCCACAUUGGAACUGAGACACGGUCCAGACUCC